RNAcentral lists this ribosomal RNA (250 nucleotides) under uncultured bacterium. Its description in RNAcentral is "partial 16S ribosomal RNA". It matches the Rfam family "Bacterial small subunit ribosomal RNA", at positions 524 to 776 of the family's 1533-position model. The record is from RNAcentral.
UACGUAGGUGACCAGCGUUGUCCGGAUUUACUGGGCGUAAAGAGCGCGCAGGCGGUCGUUCAAGUCGAGUGUGAAAGCCCCGGCUCAACUGGGAGGGUCACUCGAUACUGAUCGACUUGAAGGCAGGAGAGGGAAGCGGAAUUCCCGGUGUAGUGGUGAAAUGCGUAGAUAUCGGGAGGAACACCAGUGGCGAAGGCGGCUUCCUGGCCUGUUCUUGACGCUGAGGCGCGAAAGCUAGGGAGCAAACGGG